Molecule: ribosomal RNA, 1395 nt
Filed under: uncultured bacterium
Lineage: Bacteria
Description: bacterial SSU rRNA
Rfam family: Bacterial small subunit ribosomal RNA
Source: RNAcentral
AGAGUUUGAUCCUGGCUCAGAUUGAACGCUGGCGGCAGGCCUAACACAUGCAAGUCGAGCGGUAGAGAGGAGCUUGCUCCUCUUGAGAGCGGCGGACGGGUGAGUAAUGCCUAGGAAUCUGCCUGGUAGUGGGGGAUAACGUUCGGAAACGGACGCUAAUACCGCAUACGUCCUACGGGAGAAAGCAGGGGACCUUCGGGCCUUGCGCUAUCAGAUGAGCCUAGGUCGGAUUAGCUAGUUGGUGAGGUAAUGGCUCACCAAGGCGACGAUCCGUAACUGGUCUGAGAGGAUGAUCAGUCACACUGGAACUGAGACACGGUCCAGACUCCUACGGGAGGCAGCAGUGGGGAAUAUUGGACAAUGGGCGAAAGCCUGAUCCAGCCAUGCCGCGUGUGUGAAGAAGGUCUUCGGAUUGUAAAGCACUUUAAGUUGGGAGGAAGGGCAGUAAAUUAAUACUUUGCUGUUUUGACGUUACCGACAGAAUAAGCACCGGCUAACUCUGUGCCAGCAGCCGCGGUAAUACAGAGGGUGCAAGCGUUAAUCGGAAUUACUGGGCGUAAAGCGCGCGUAGGUGGUUUGUUAGGUUGGAUGUGAAAUCCCCGGGCUCAACCUGGGAACUGCAUUCAAAACUGACUGACUAGAGUAUGGUAGAGGGUGGUGGAAUUUCCUGUGUAGCGGUGAAAUGCGUAGAUAUAGGAAGGAACACCAGUGGCGAAGGCGACCACCUGGACUAAUACUGACACUGAGGUGCGAAAGCGUAGGGAGCAAACAGGAUUAGAUACCCUGGUAGUCCACGCCGUAAACGAUGUCAACUAGCCGUUGGAAGCCUUGAGCUUUUAGUGGCGCAGCUAACGCAUUAAGUUGACCGCCUGGGGAGUACGGCCGCAAGGUUAAAACUCAAAUGAAUUGACGGGGGCCCGCACAAGCGGUGGAGCAUGUGGUUUAAUUCGAAGCAACGCGAAGAACCUUACCAGGCCUUGACAUCCAAUGAACUUUCUAGAGAUAGAUUGGUGCCUUCGGGAGCAUUGAGACAGGUGCUGCAUGGCUGUCGUCAGCUCGUGUCGUGAGAUGUUGGGUUAAGUCCCGUAACGAGCGCAACCCUUGUCCUUAGUUACCAGCACGUAAUGGUGGGCACUCUAAGGAGACUGCCGGUGACAAACCGGAGGAAGGUGGGGAUGACGUCAAGUCAUCAUGGCCCUUACGGCCUGGGCUACACACGUGCUACAAUGGUCGGUACAGAGGGUUGCCAAGCCGCGAGGUGGAGCUAAUCCCACAAAACCGAUCGUAGUCCGGAUCGCAGUCUGCAACUCGACUGCGUGAAGUCGGAAUCGCUAGUAAUCGCGAAUCAGAAUGUCGCGGUGAAUACGUUCCCGGGCCUUGCACAGACCGCCCGUC